Molecule: ribosomal RNA, 243 nt
Filed under: uncultured bacterium
Lineage: Bacteria
Description: partial small subunit ribosomal RNA
Rfam family: Bacterial small subunit ribosomal RNA
Source: RNAcentral
AGAAUCAACGCUGGCGGCGUGCCUAACACAUGCAAGUCGAACGAGAAAGUGGAGCAAUCCAUGAGUAAAGUGGCGACCGGGUGAGUAACACGUGACUAACCUACCCUAGAGUGGGGGAUAACCUCGGGAAACCGGGCUAAUACCGCAUAACACCUACGGGUCAAAGGAGCAAUUCGCUUCAGGAGGGGUCGCGGCAGAUUAGCUAGUUGGCGGGGUAACGGCCCACCAAGGCAGUGAUCUGUA